This 497-nucleotide ribosomal RNA is filed under the name uncultured bacterium. Its description in RNAcentral is "partial 16S ribosomal RNA". It matches the Rfam family "Bacterial small subunit ribosomal RNA", at positions 28 to 507 of the family's 1533-position model. The record is from RNAcentral.
GAUGAACGCUGGCGGCGUGCCUAAUACAUGCAAGUCGAACGAACAGACUCGUAGCUUGCUCCUCUGACGUUAGCGGCGGACGUGUGAGUAACACGUGGAUAACCUACUUAUCAGACUGGUAUAACUUCGGGAAUCCGUAGCUAAUACCGUAUAAUAUAUUUAACCGCAUGGUUCAAUAGAGUAAUACGGUUUUGCUUUAACUCAUAGCUUGUUCCGGGCCGCAUUGGCUAGUUGGUUAGGUAACGGCGUACCAAGGCAACGAUUCGUAGCCUACAUGAGAGGGUGGGCGGCCGCACUGGAACGGAGAAACGGUACAGACUCCUACGGGAGGCAGCAGUAGGGAAACGUGCGCAAGGGGCGGAAGACUGAGGGAGAAACGCCGAGGGAGGGAGGAGGGUCUUCGGGUCGGAAAACACGGUUAUUAGGGAAGAACAAAUGUGUAAGAAACAAUGCGCGUAUUGAAGGUACCUAGGCAGAAAGGCACGGCUAAAUAAGGG